GACGAACGCUGGCGGCGUGCUUAACACAUGCAAGUCGAACGGAAAGGCCCUGCUUUUGUGGGGUGCUCGAGUGGCGAACGGGUGAGUAACACGUGAGUAACCUGCCCUUGACUUUGGGAUAACUUCAGGAAACUGGGGCUAAUACCGGAUAGGAGCUCCUGCUGCAUGGUGGGGGUUGGAAAGUUUCGGCGGUUGGGGAUGGACUCGCGGCUUAUCAGCGUGUUGGUGGGGUAGUGGCUUACCAAGGCUUUGACGGGUAGCCGGCCUGAGAGGGUGACCGGCCACAUUGGUACUGAGAUACGGCCCAGACUCCUACGGGAGGCAGCAGUGGGGAAUAUUGCACAAUGGGCGGAAGCCUGAUGCAGCAACGCCGCGUGCGGGAUGACGGCCUUCGGGUUGUAAACCGCUUUCGCCUGUGACGAAGCGUGAGUGACGGUAAUGGGUAAAGAAGCACCGGCUAACUACGUG
This 468-nucleotide ribosomal RNA is filed under the name uncultured bacterium. Its description in RNAcentral is "partial 16S ribosomal RNA". It matches the Rfam family "Bacterial small subunit ribosomal RNA", at positions 28 to 507 of the family's 1533-position model. The record is from RNAcentral.